GAUGAACGCUGGCGGCGUGCCUAAUACAUGCAAGUCGAGCGAACAGACGAGGAGCUUGCUCCUCUGACGUUAGCGGCGGACGGGUGAGUAACACGUGGAUAACCUACCUAUAAGACUGGGAUAACUUCGGGAAACCGGAGCUAAUACCGGAUAAUAUAUUGAACCGCAUGGUUCAAUAGUGAAAGACGGUUUUGCUGUCACUUAUAGAUGGAUCCGCGCCGCAUUAGCUAGUUGGUAAGGUAACGGCUUACCAAGGCAACGAUGCGUAGCCGACCUGAGAGGGUGAUCGGCCACACUGGAACUGAGACACGGUCCAGACUCCUACGGGAGGCAGCAGUAGGGAAUCUUCCGCAAUGGGCGAAAGCUUGACGGAGCAACGCCGCGUGAGUGAUGAAGGUCUUCGGAUCGUAAAACUCUGUUAUUAGGGAAGAACAAAUGUGUAAGUAACUAUGCACGUCUUGACGGUACCUAAUCAGAAAGCCACGGCUGACUACGUG
Molecule: ribosomal RNA, 497 nt
Filed under: uncultured bacterium
Lineage: Bacteria
Description: partial 16S ribosomal RNA
Rfam family: Bacterial small subunit ribosomal RNA
Source: RNAcentral